Molecule: non-coding RNA, 836 nt
Organism: Paramuricea clavata
Lineage: Eukaryota; Metazoa; Cnidaria; Anthozoa; Malacalcyonacea; Plexauridae
Source: the annotation of a GenBank genome assembly
UCCCGGAGUUGCAUACAUGAUAUAUAGGCUACCGAGGUGGCUUUGCAUGUGCUCUGGCAACGAUCACACCAUUGGCAUUGCGCUCCGGAACCAACACGAAUAACAUGUUUUUUAUCAAGUUUUUGAAGCUAAAUUAAACGAUAUGUAUAUGAUUAGAAUGCGCGCAUUUAUAUGUAUUACGGCUGAAAAGUGUAGAGGUAGGCCUAUAUCAUAUAAUCAUAUUCUGUCAAAAUAACAGCGGCUAGCGCGCUUUGUCGGCAAAUAGGCCGACAUCGCACAAAUCAUCAUGUUUCGGUUUUCAAUCGGGAAAUCAUCCCAAAUCGUAGCAAUUUAUGGAAUAUUUCCUAAAGCCACAUACACAUGAAAUGUUCAGUGUCUAUCUUUAAGGGCCACGAACCGGCAUAUACUCAGUAGGAGAUAAAAUGGCAAAAUUUGUGGCUCGACAUAGUUAUUCGUGACGUUCGUGAUAGGACCAUAACACUUCGAAAGCUAAUAACCCUAUAUCCUAUAACUUAAGACAUUCUAUCAUCAAACUGAUACAUCGAUAGACUUAUUACUAUUAGACUAUACGAAAUGGAAACAUUUACUUGUUAUACUACAGAUAACGUACACAUUAUUUUAUUACUGGAGAUUUGUUGCGUUAAAUUUUCCUAAUUUUUAAUUUUGCGCAUAAAAGGAAAAAGUACGAAAAAAAAUACCAAAAAUAAAAAUAAUAUUUUCGUGAAAAAAUGCAUUUUUAGCACAUUUUAUGACCCACGACUUUACCCACGACUUUACCCACGACUUUACCCACGACUUUACCCACGACACACGACUUUUAACCCACGACACACGAC